CCUUAGCCCUGAUUGCAACGAAAAUCCCGGAGUGGAGCGGCGCAGCCGCGUAAUGAGGAAUUGCAGUGGAAAGCAGGUUCCCGG
This 84-nucleotide unclassified non-coding RNA is filed under the name Chryseobacterium taeanense. RNAcentral's name for it is "Flavo-1 RNA". Lineage: Bacteria; Pseudomonadati; Bacteroidota; Flavobacteriia; Flavobacteriales; Weeksellaceae. The record is from RNAcentral.